RNAcentral lists this long non-coding RNA (3008 nucleotides) under Nicotiana tabacum (common tobacco). RNAcentral describes it as "long non-coding RNA (NTAB_LNC010155)". Lineage: Eukaryota; Viridiplantae; Streptophyta; Magnoliopsida; Solanales; Solanaceae. The record is from RNAcentral.
AAAGAACAAAAAUAAAAUUGCCAAGCACAUCAUAGAAGAACAAAAGAUUUAUUUGAUACUAACGUAUUUUCAGAUUUUGCAGGAAAAAAAUAAAAUGUACAACACAUUCUCAGUUAUAAACAAAAAUAUUCUUGCACUAUCACAUAUACCUCCAUUCAAAUUGUAGACUGAAAUUAAGAAAUCAAGUACGUAAGACAACUGUAAAUCCAAAUGGCAUUCAUAGACGCAACUUGUAAGUUGUAAAUACUCGAAUCGCGCUAAACUGUUCCACAAAUUUAACAAAAAUAAUUUCAUAAAAAUACACGAUCACAAACUGUGAGUCCAACUUUAUGAGAAGAAAGCAAGAGAAUAUAAUAAAUGCCUAUGGAUUAUCGAUUGCUUUGUCGGUACCAUACCAUACUCUGAAAUAGUCCUGCAAUAAUAUCCUUAAAAUCAUCAGAUCAGACAUACAGAUAAUUUUCAACCAUUUAUCAUGAAAAAAAGAAAUCAGUUUCUUUUACACAAAAAGUUUAAAUAUAUAUUUUUUAAGAAGACAAUCCCCCUUUUAUGGUGUCUUUAGGUAUUGCUCUCAAAAAAAUGUUGUCAAAAUGAGCUAAAUUUAAGCUUUCAAGGAUGGUAGAGGCAGCAAAAAUAUUCUAAUACUAUUAAAGUAGGAAUUACGUGGAGUUGGUUAAGAGCGUGCAUAAGCUAUCAAGGUUGUUUGGAAAACCAAAGACCACCUUGUCACUCUUCUUUUUUUCGUGCUGCUGGUGUUAUUUCUCGUUUGUAUACCUUUAAACACUAUAAAAUCUCUGGUCAAACGUUCCAAUCCUUUCCCUUUCCUAUUUAAAAAUGAUCACUUCAGAUUAUAGAAGAAAAAGGUAAUAGUGCACGAAAUGAUAUUUUAAAAAUGUCAAUAUUGUUUCAAUUCACAAAAUCAUUUUGGCAUAAGCCGACACCUGAAUAUAAUCCUCAAACAAAUCAAAAAAGAUGAGGCCUCGAACCAUUUGAUUGACAAAAUGUAUGCCGCAAUCUCUGAAAUUCACAACUGGUAUAUCUAAUCUUUUUUUACAGUACAAAGAUAUACUUACUGAGCAGAAAACUAUUUUCUCAUCCAACUUUAGACCAAAAGCACCUUCAUGUUACUACAAAUUUAUUCAAAAGAUAAAGAAAAACAUCUUAAUGCUCCUCUUAAGCACCACGGAAUUUCAGAUUUGGCAUCAAGGAAAGGUUUCCUUCAAGAAGAAGUUUUUACGGCUAAUAGUAAUUCCCUCCAAGUUGUGCAAAUGCUUGAUUAUACAUUGUGCAAAGUUUAUCAUUAUCAAUCAAGUUACAGAUACCUUCAUAGAAAAAAUAAACAAGGUACAAUUACAUUUUCCUUAUUCAUAUUCUCUCUAGAUAUUAUAUCCUUCUUCAUCCAUGAUUUUUAUUUGCAUUAUACAUUAUGUAGUUAGAUUUAAACACUUAUAAAGUAAUGUAACAUUUUCAUUGACAAAUUACUCAAUAUUGUGGCACGAAGAGUAAAGCUCAAAAGUAUACCUCAAUUGUAUCAAGUUCUAGCAAGGACGCUACUUGUUUGGCCGAAGCAAGUAACAGAGUUGCAGCUGUUAAACAUGUACCUCCAAUGGAUCCGACUGUUCGUCUUUACAUUUUUAACUUGCUCAUUUUGAACAUCAUAGUCUCCACUCUGUUAUGUGUGACCAUCAUUUGUUUAGUUCAACAUCCUAUUAAAAGAAGAAUACAUCAUCAUAUGCCCAAGACAAUCACUUGGGUAAAAAAGGGAAAUGAAUUCCUAAUAAGGAAAACAGUCGGAUGCGUCAAUAUUAUAUUUGAGUGUUCUGAAAAUACGAUUCAACAUCAAAAGGAAAGUUGGUACUCAAGAAUAAUGCAUCACAAUAUUUCAGGUCAGCAUUAUAGAGUUUAAUAGAAAUUACAUUUUAAUGUUGAUGUUUUUGUUACAUGUGUGACUGUUUCAUAAUCUCUCUCAAGGCGGGACUUGUUUUAAGCAUUCAUGAAGCUUAUCAAUCCCCAUCUGAAAAAAUAGUUAAAAUAUUAAAAUUUAAAUUUAAUAAAAGAAAAUAAUGUCAAACAUCUUAUCAUGAUUUACCCACUUUUAAUGAAUUUUUAACAUCCUAUAUAAUUUUUAUUGACAAAACAAAUGUUAAAUGUGAAAUAACUCAAUUAAAUUAGUAAAUGUGAAUUGUUUAUGAUUGUAAUGAAUGUUAACAAUUAUAGGGAAGGUCAAAAGAAAGGUCCUUUUAACAAUUCUAAUGAAUUUAAUAUUUUGAGCAUCCAAACCUACUGCAACCUUGUCCAACGGCCAACACUUAAGGAGAAAACAAAAUAGCAUAAUUAAAACGAAAAAUAAAACUAUGAGAAGUCCAGAUAUAACAAUAAAUCAGUCUAACGACAGGAAAACCUCUCCUUUGAAAUAAGAUGAUUGAAUUUUCAACUAAACAUCAAAAGAUUGACCAACACUUCAAUCAACGCUGCCCUAUUUGUAUAUAUUUCACAAGUUCUAAUUUCAAUAUCUAGAGAAUUCGUGAUAUCCUCUAAUUGUUUCAAAAGUAAAUAGCAAUAAAAUUGAGUAAAAAGAAUUAAGAUAAUUUAAAAAUCGAAGAGAAAGAACGUGCAAAGUCGUGAACUGUUCCGUGAAUUUUCUCCGGAGCAGAAAGUCUCAUGUCCUUGAAGUCUUUGAGUGCUUUCAAGCAAUCACUGAUUUUCGACUUCGAAUCGGUAUCUUAAGUCCACCACCAGUGGCUCCGAUUGGUCGAUGUCUUAUAUUUUGGGGAUAGCACAGUUAUGAAGGAUGCCACAAAAUCUUGUCUCACUAACAUUUUUUUUCCGGCAGGGCACAAAGAAAAAAGACUAAACUGGCUAUGGUGUAUUAUGAGAAAGAAGAGGAAGAUAGAAGGCGUAAUUAAGAUGAAUAGUAUAUGAAGGUUUAAUGAGAAGGGUUAAUGAAGGAGCGCAGCUUUUGAGUCUUAACCGAAGGGUAAAAAUUAAUUUAAACAAUGAGAAGAAACAAA